Molecule: unclassified non-coding RNA, 375 nt
Filed under: uncultured Actinomycetes bacterium
Lineage: Bacteria; Bacillati; Actinomycetota; Actinomycetes
Description: uncultured actinobacterium contains 16S-23S intergenic spacer region
Source: RNAcentral
UCCGGUUUGUCACCGGCAGUCUCGCAUGAGUCCCCAACUUAAUGCUGGCAACAUGCGACGGGGGUUGCGCUCGUUGCGGGAUUUAACCCAACAUCUCACGACACGAGCUGACGACAACCAUGCACCACCUGUGCACGACCCUUACGGACCCACCAUCUCUGGAGGAUUUCCGUGCAUGUCAAGCCUAGGUAAGGUUCUUCGCGUUGCAUCGAAUUAAGCAACAUGCUCCGCCGCUUGUGCAGGUCCCCGUCAAUUCCUUUAUGUUUUAGCCUUGCGGCCGUACUCCCCAGGCGGGGAACUUAAUGCGUUAGCUGCGACACGGAAUCCGUGGAAUGGACCCCACAUCUAGUUCCCAACGUUUACGGCGUGGACUAC